This 933-nucleotide ribosomal RNA is filed under the name uncultured delta proteobacterium. RNAcentral's name for it is "bacterial SSU rRNA". It matches the Rfam family "Bacterial small subunit ribosomal RNA", at positions 8 to 916 of the family's 1533-position model. The record is from RNAcentral. Lineage: Bacteria; Deltaproteobacteria. RNAcentral also lists the same sequence under 1 other name.
AGAGUUUGAUCCUGGCUCAGAACGAACGCUGGCGGCGUGCCUAACACAUGCAAGUCGAGCGCGAAUGGAGCAAUCCUAGUAGAGCGGCGCACGGGUGCGUAACACGUGGGUAAUCUGCCUGGAAGACCGGAAUAACCUGCCGAAAGGCUGGCUAAUACCGGAUAAGCCUACGGGGUCCUUGGACCUUGGAGGAAAAGGUGGCCUCUGUACACAAGCUAUCACUUCCAGAUGAGCCCGCGGCCCAUCAGCUAGUUGGCGGGGUAAUGGCCCACCAAGGCAACGACGGGUAGCUGGUCUGAGAGGACGAUCAGCCACACUGGAACUGAGACACGGUCCAGACUCCUACGGGAGGCAGCAGUGGGGAAUUUUGCACAAUGGGCGAAAGCCUGAUGCAGCAACGCCGCGUGUGUGAUGAAGGUCUUCGGAUCGUAAAGCACUUUCGACCGUGACGAACAACCUCCGGCUAACACUCGGGGGCCUGACGGUAGCGGGAGAAGAAGCACCGGCUAACUCUGUGCCAGCAGCCGCGGUAAUACAGAGGGUGCAAGCGUUGUUCGGAAUUAUUGGGCGUAAAGCGCGUGUAGGCGGCUUUGCAAGUCGGGUGUGAAAGCCCUCGGCUCAACCGAGGAAGUGCGCCCGAAACUGCAGAGCUUGGGUACCGGAGAGGGAUGGCGGGAAUUCCCCAAGUAGAGGUGAAAUUCGUAGAUAUGGGGGAGGAACACCGGUGGGCGAAGGCGGCCAUCUGGACGGAUACUGGACGCUUGAGACGCGAAAGCGUGGGGAGCAAACAGGAUUAGAUACCCUGGUAGUCCACGCCGUAAACGAUGAGAACUAGGUGUUGUGGGAGUUGACCCCCGCGGUGCCGUAGCUAACGCAUUAAGUUCUCCGCCUGGGAAGUACGGCCGCAAGGCUAAAACUCAAAUGAAUUGACGG